This 227-nucleotide unclassified non-coding RNA is filed under the name uncultured fungus. RNAcentral's name for it is "sequence contains ITS1, 5.8S rRNA gene". The stretch from base 179 to 227 matches the Rfam family "5.8S ribosomal RNA", at positions 1 to 49 of the family's 154-position model. Lineage: Eukaryota; Fungi. The record is from RNAcentral.
UCUCCGUAGGUGAACCUGCGGAGGGAUCAUUACUGAGUGAGGGUCUCCGGGCCCGACCUCCAACCCCAUGUGAACCAAAACCUGUUGCUUCGGGGGCGACCCUGCCAUUCGGCGCGGCGCCCCCGGAGGCUCAUCAAACACUGCAUCUUUGCGUCGGAGUCUUACUGAAUUUAAACAAAACUUUUAACAACGGAUCUCUUGGUUCUGGCAACGAUGAAGAACGCAGC